Molecule: transfer RNA, 76 nt
Filed under: Chloroflexota bacterium
Lineage: Bacteria; Bacillati; Chloroflexota
Also listed under: 3 other names
Description: tRNA-Ala
Rfam family: tRNA
About the family: Transfer RNA (tRNA) molecules are approximately 80 nucleotides in length. Their secondary structure includes four short double-helical elements and three loops (D, anti-codon, and T loops). Further hydrogen bonds mediate the characteristic L-shaped molecular structure. tRNAs have two regions of fundamental functional importance: the anti-codon, which is responsible for specific mRNA codon recognition, and the 3' end, to which the tRNAs corresponding amino acid is attached (by aminoacyl-tRNA synthetases). tRNAs cope with the degeneracy of the genetic code in two manners: having more than one tRNA (with a specific anti-codon) for a particular amino acid; and 'wobble' base-pairing, i.e. permitting non-standard base-pairing at the 3rd anti-codon position.
Source: RNAcentral
GGGGCCGUAGCUCAGCUGGGAGAGCGCAACACUGGCAGUGUUGAGGUCAGGGGUUCGAGCCCCCUCGGCUCCACCA